This 423-nucleotide ribosomal RNA is filed under the name uncultured Acidobacteriota bacterium. RNAcentral's name for it is "bacterial SSU rRNA". It matches the Rfam family "Bacterial small subunit ribosomal RNA", at positions 958 to 1385 of the family's 1533-position model. Lineage: Bacteria; Pseudomonadati; Acidobacteriota. The record is from RNAcentral.
AACGCGAAGAACCUUACCUGGGCUUGAACUGCACCGGACAAAGGUAGAAAUACCUCUCCCGCAAGGGCUGGUGUAGAGGUGCUGCAUGGCUGUCGUCAGCUCGUGCCGUGAGGUGUUGGGUUAAGUCCCGCAACGAGCGCAACCCUUACCCUUAGUUGCCACCCGCAAGGGGGAACUCUAAGGGGACUGCUCCGGAUAACGGAGAGGAAGGUGGGGAUGAGGUCAAGUCAGCAUGGCCUUUAUGUCCAGGGCUACACACGUGUUACAAUGCAUGGUACAGACCGCUGCAAACCCGCGAGGGGGAGCUAACCGGAAAAAACCAUGCUCAGUUCGGAUUGCAGUCUGCAACUCGACUGCAUGAAGCCGGAAUCGCUAGUAAUGGCGUAUCAGAACGACGCCGUGAAUACGUUCCCGGGCCUUGUA